RNAcentral lists this ribosomal RNA (864 nucleotides) under uncultured organism. RNAcentral describes it as "bacterial SSU rRNA". It matches the Rfam family "Bacterial small subunit ribosomal RNA", at positions 633 to 1510 of the family's 1533-position model. The record is from RNAcentral.
CUGUUAAUCUUGAAGUACAAGUGAGGUAGGCGGAAUGUAUGAUGUAGCGGUGAAAUGCUUAGAUAUCAUACAGAACACCAAUUGCGAAGGCAGCUUACUAAACUGUAACUGACGCUGAGGCACGAAAGCGUGGGGAGCGAACAGGAUUAGAUACCCUGGUAGUCCACGCUGUAAACGAUGAUCACUCGCUGUUGGCAAUACAUCGUCAGUGGCUGAGCAAAAGCAUUAAGUGAUCCACCUGGGGAGUACGUCGGCAACGAUGAAACUCAAAGGAAUUGACGGGGGCCCGCACAAGCGGUGGAACAUGUGGUUUAAUUCGAUGAUACGCGAGGAACCUUACCUGGGCUUAAAUGCAGAACGACGGUUCCCGAAAGGGAUCCUUCUUCGGACGGACUGCAAGGUGCUGCAUGGUUGUCGUCAGCUCGUGCCGUGAGGUGUCGGGUUAAGUCCCAUAACGAGCGCAACCCCUAUUGUUAGUUGCCAGCGAGUAAUGUCGGGGACUCUAACGAAACUGCCGGUGUAAACCGUGAGGAAGGUGGGGAUGACGUCAAAUCAGCACGGCCCUUAUGUCCAGGGCUACACACGUGUUACAAUGGUCGGUACAGAGGGCAGCUACUUGGCGACAAGUUGCAAAUCUCUAAAACCGGCCUUAGUUCGGAUUGAAGUCUGCAACUCGACUUCAUGAAGCUGGAAUCGCUAGUAAUCGCGCAUCAGCCAUGGCGCGGUGAAUACGUUCCCGGGCCUUGUACACACCGCCCGUCAAGCCAUGGAAGCUGGGGGUACCUAAAGUCCGUAACCGAAAGGAGCGGCCUAGGGUAAAACUGGUGACUGGGGCUAAGUCGUAACAAGGUAACCAAGGGCGAA